GAACCACCCGGCCCCGGGGCGAGAGACGCGUCUCUCAGGCCCCAGAUCCGUGGAGUCGUCUCUCUCCAGAGGACCGGGCGCCGGCCCUCUCCUCCACCUGAGAAGCAAAAGGGCGCAGAGCCACCAAAAUGCCUUGACCUGGGCGGCUGACAGAUGAAGGAGUACAUUUGGGAGACUCCAGACUCCGCAAGGUGGCUCAGUGGUAAAGAAUCCGACUGCCAGUGCAUGAGACGAGGAUUCGAUCCCUGGGUUGGGAAGAUCCCUGGAGGAAGGCAUGGCAACCCACUCCAGUAUUGCCUGGGGAAUUCCAUGGACAGAGGAGCCUGGCAGGCUACAGUCCAUAGGGUUGCAAAAGAGUCGGACACGACUGAACAACUCAACAACAACAAUAGCAGCAAUAUUUUGAUGUUCUGACUACUUGGUCUUUGUUGCAGAAACUCCUAUGUAUCCCGGCUCCUCACUUGCCUCUUUGGAGCAGUCCUGCAGGGCUAUCUGAGAGGUUAUGUCCUGGGCUUAAGUUCUCAGGGUG
This is a long non-coding RNA of Budorcas taxicolor (takin), 529 nucleotides long. RefSeq lists it as uncharacterized. The record is from RefSeq and is a predicted model, not a curated record. NCBI's taxonomy places the organism in Eukaryota, Metazoa, Chordata, Mammalia, Artiodactyla, Bovidae. The transcript is spliced from 3 exons.